This 301-nucleotide ribosomal RNA is filed under the name uncultured bacterium. RNAcentral describes it as "partial 16S ribosomal RNA". It matches the Rfam family "Bacterial small subunit ribosomal RNA", at positions 509 to 808 of the family's 1533-position model. The record is from RNAcentral.
CAGUAGCCGCGGUAAUACGUAGGUCCCGAGCGUUGUCCGGAUUUAUUGGGCGUAAAGCGAGCGCAGGCGGUUUGAUAAGUCUGAAGUUAAAGGCUGUGGCUCAACCAUAGUUCGCUUUGGAAACUGUCAAACUUGAGUGCAGAAGGGGAGAGUGGAAUUCCAUGUGUAGCGGUGAAAUGCGUAGAUAUAUGGAGGAACACCGGUGGCGAAAGCGGCUCUCUGGUCUGUAACUGACGCUGAGGCUCGAAAGCGUGGGGAGCGAACAGGAUUAGAUACCCGCGUAGUCCCUGUCUCUUAUACC